UACGGAGGGGGCUAGCGUUGUUCGGAAUUACUGGGCGUAAAGCGCACGUAGGCGGCUUUGCAAGUUAGAGGUGAAAGCCCGGAGCUUAACUCCGGAAUUGCCUUUAAAACUGCAUCGCUAGAAUUGUGGAGAGGUGAGUGGAAUUCCGAGUGUAGAGGUGAAACUCGUAGAUAUUCGGAAGAACACCAGUGGCGAAGGCGACUCACUGGACACAUAUUGACGCUGAGGUGCGAAAGCGUGGGGAGCAAACAGG
RNAcentral lists this ribosomal RNA (253 nucleotides) under uncultured bacterium. RNAcentral describes it as "partial 16S ribosomal RNA". It matches the Rfam family "Bacterial small subunit ribosomal RNA", at positions 524 to 776 of the family's 1533-position model. The record is from RNAcentral.